UCCAGACAACUGGAGUUGUGGAUGCAGUUCCUCAAGAUUGAAAGCAAGGUGGCCUGUAUGGGAUGCUACUAAAAUUCUCAAGGUUGGCCAUGCAAUUGAUCUUAAAUAA
Long non-coding RNA from Neltuma alba, 109 nucleotides. RefSeq lists it as uncharacterized. The record is from RefSeq and is a predicted model, not a curated record. The transcript has 3 exons. Lineage: Eukaryota; Viridiplantae; Streptophyta; Magnoliopsida; Fabales; Fabaceae.